AGGCGGAAAGCAGCAGUGUGGCUCAGUGGCAAGAGCCCGGGUUGUCAGCCAGAGGUCAUGGGUUCGAAUCCCGACUCUGCCCCUUGUCAGCUGUGUGACUGUGGGCGAGUCACUUCACUUCUCUGGGCCUCAGUUCCCUCAUCUGGAAAAAGGGGAUGAAGACUGGGGGACCACCUGAUGCCCCUGGAUCUCCCCCAGCGCUUAGAACAGUGCUCUGCACAUAGGAAGUGCUUAAAAAAUACCAACUUUGUUAUCUGGAAAAUGAGGAUGAAGACUGGGAGACCACCUGAUGCCCCUGGAUCUCCCCCAGCGCUUAGAACAGUGCUCUGCACGUAGUAAGCGCUUAACAAAUACCAACUUUGUUAUCUGGAAAAUGGGGAUGAAGACUGGGAGACCACCUGAUGACCCUGGAUCAUCCCCAGCGCUUAGAACAGUGCUCUGCACGUAGGAAGCGCUUAACAAAUACCAACAUUAUUAUUAUUAAAGAGUCCGUUUUUAAUCCCUGAGGCGCCUAAGGAAGAUUUUCUUAGGAGUAAGGGUAUUGAUGGGGCGCUUACUGUGUGCAGAGGAGCGGGCCGUGCGGUGGGGAGGCUGCGGGGUGUCCGGAGAGGGGGGAGCGGAGGGGCCCAGGGGAGGAGCGGCCCGGGGGGCGGGGAGGUGGGCGGGGGGCUCCGGCCCGGGCCCCCAGGGGCUCCCCGCGGGACGGACGGCGGCUCCGGCCCGGCGGCGCCCGCGGGACCGGCCGAAGGACCGAUCGCAGGACCGGCCGCAGGACCGGCCGCAGGACCGGCCGGGCCCGUGCAGCGGCGGGUACCACCCCUGGCCGGCCCCCCCCCCGGGGUCGCUCGGCCCCCACCCUCCUCUGGACUCCUCUUCCCCCGUCAGGAGCUUGUGCUGCGCGGUGCGGUGCGGUGCGCUCCCCUCCGCUCCCCUCCGGACGGCGGCUUCAGCGGCGCCGGCAGAGCACCGAUCCUCCCCGCUCCUCCACCCCCUCCAACGACUUACUGCUCCUAGAGGCCUGCGUUUAAAUGCUUUCACUGAGGACCGUCCAACAUUCCUGUCCACAUUUUCGAAGCUCCCCCAUCCAGCCUUGAAACUCACCUUCCAACCCCGGUACCUGGGCUUUAGCAGUGGCUUCCCCUACCACCCAGCGGGGAGGAGAUGCCGAGACUGUGUGUGAUGUCAGCUCCCUGGGGGCCAGAGCCUUUGGGAAUCUGCAGGAACAAAUAGAGCAGCACAAACUUGUCAGGAUGAACAGAAGGCUGUCCAAAUCUCGGGUGUUAAACUCAUCUGGUCACCUACUAACCGAUAUAAUUACUUAAAAUGCCGAUCAAUCAAAUCAGCGUAUUUAAUGAGCACUUACUGUGUGCAGAGAAUUCUACUAAGUGCUUGGGGGAGUAGAGUAUAACAGAUUCAAAGCAACAUCUUCCCAAGGAAAGAAGACACAAAUCUUCUAGGAAGUUCCA
Molecule: long non-coding RNA, 1466 nt
Filed under: Ornithorhynchus anatinus (platypus)
Lineage: Eukaryota; Metazoa; Chordata; Mammalia; Monotremata; Ornithorhynchidae
Description: lncRNA (ENSOANG00000039429.1)
Rfam family: tRNA (bases 12-82)
Source: RNAcentral